Molecule: transfer RNA, 65 nt
Filed under: Agarivorans albus MKT 106
Lineage: Bacteria; Pseudomonadati; Pseudomonadota; Gammaproteobacteria; Alteromonadales; Alteromonadaceae
Rfam family: tRNA
About the family: Transfer RNA (tRNA) molecules are approximately 80 nucleotides in length. Their secondary structure includes four short double-helical elements and three loops (D, anti-codon, and T loops).
Source: Rfam by way of RNAcentral
GUUCAGUUGGUUAGAAUACCGGCCUGUCACGCCGGGGGUCGCGGGUUCGAGUCCCGUCCACUCCG